Molecule: ribosomal RNA, 481 nt
Filed under: uncultured bacterium
Lineage: Bacteria
Description: bacterial SSU rRNA
Rfam family: Bacterial small subunit ribosomal RNA
Source: RNAcentral
GCUGGCGGCGUGCCUAACACAUGCAAGUCGAGCGGUAACAUUUCUAGCUUGCUAGAAGAUGACGAGCGGCGGACGGGUGAGUAACGCGUAGAAAUCUACCUAGUAGUGGGGGAUAGCCCAGAGAAAUUUGGAUUAAUACCGCAUACGCCCUACGGGGGAAAGCGGGGGAUCUUCGGACCUCGUGCUAUUAGAUGAGUCUGCGUCGGAUUAGCUUGUUGGUGAGGUAAUGGCUCACCAAGGCGACGAUCCGUAGCUGGUCUGAGAGGAUGACCAGCCACACUGGAACUGAGACACGGUCCAGACUCCUACGGGAGGCAGCAGUGGGGAAUAUUGCACAAUGGGCGCAAGCCUGAUGCAGCCAUGCCGCGUGUGUGAAGAAGGCCUUAGGGUUGUAAAGCACUUUCAGCAGUGAGGAAAGGGGUGUCGUUAAUAGCGCCAUCCUGUGACGUUAACUGCAGAAGAAGGACCGGCUAACUCCGUG